AGAAAAAGCCUUAGAGACGGAGAGGAGUCAGGGUGUGUGAAUCACGUCAGCCCUUCAGACGAGGUGAAACGGAAAUAACAUAUUUGCAAGACAAUAACCACAACCACAUCUAUGACUAGAAAAUCCUAGAAAAUUCUGUGCUACGUAAUAUAAAACCUCUCAGGGUACAAUCCACCAACCUGGAAGUACUAUUGACUGAAUUAUGCUCAUAACUGAGGAUGAUGACCUACAGGCAAACUCUGAUAGUGACCAGGUUGUUCUUGCAGAGAACUUGUGAAAAUUCGGUGUGUUGAAUAGGUGAGUUCCAAUGGAGUGAGUAUGCUGCAGCCUUUGAAAAGUAGUGCCAAUCAAGAAAGAGCUGGCAGAAACAGACGUAUCAUACAGAUCAGCAUCUGGCUGCCUAGCUGGUGUUGCCAGCAGGAUUUUGGCUUCCGUAAUCAUGAGAUUCUCUUCAAAGACUGUGGGCUACUGUGGAGAGGAGGACCUGGGCAGUCACCAACAUCUACAGGCUGGAAAGAAAACUGUAACAACUUAAAAAUAUUCUGGACCUGCAAAGGAACCAGAUUUCGGAGUGAAAUCCUAGAUCAAAAAAGAAAAAAAGUUAAAUGAGCUUGAACAAAUGACAGCUAAGCUUUUCUUGUCAUUGACUGACUGAAGACCUGUGGGAAAAAUACAACAUAGAUUUCAUGGAUUAACAAUUCAGGUGAAAGUCCUCUCAUUUCACUAGUACUGCUCCUUUUUAAACCAGUGAAGAACUGAUCUUCUAUUUCCAGUGCACUUGCCAUUUAUUUCAAAGCAUCUUGAAAACAUAUUCACCUCAUCAGCUUAAGGCCUAUUCCCCUACUCGUGGAGCAAUUAUCAGGUGUGAUGUGUGUCAGAGAGAUGUGGUAUCAAUAUUACGGGCACUUGUACAUCUCUUGGCCAACAGAGUGGUGAAAGAAUUGGAAGCUAGGGCCAACUGCCUGUGGCUGUGAAUGUCAGAGGAGAUUGUACUUAUUCAAUGAGUUCCAUAUGCACAUCUGAGUUCAGCAUUUGUCCUUAAAGAAGUAGAUGUUGUCACAACUGCACUUCUGUAAAAUGUGUAAUUUUACGUUAAAAAAUGUGAAAGGAGAGAAAAAGGAUAUGUAUGUAACUAAAGAUAAAUAAAUAAAU
RNAcentral lists this long non-coding RNA (1152 nucleotides) under Gallus gallus (chicken). RNAcentral describes it as "lncRNA (ENSGALG00010001107.1)". The record is from RNAcentral. Lineage: Eukaryota; Metazoa; Chordata; Aves; Galliformes; Phasianidae.